Long non-coding RNA from Gasterosteus aculeatus aculeatus (three-spined stickleback), 1189 nucleotides. The record is from Ensembl. NCBI's taxonomy places the organism in Eukaryota, Metazoa, Chordata, Actinopteri, Perciformes, Gasterosteidae.
UUUUUUUUUUUCUCUUUUUACAUAAUCAUGUCAACUUGGAAAUUCAAUAUCGUGUAAUAUGUUCUGCUUUCUCUAAAUAUGAGCGAUUUUGGAUGCAUCCUACACGACGAUGAAUCAGGAAUGCCAUCAAACAUCCGUUAGCUUUCGUUUGUACGGGAUGACUUGUACAUGAAUGAAUCACAAACUCCGAUCGUUCCUGUCAUGCCAUUCCCUGUCCCGUCAUGUAGAACAAAUACCUGCAAGAAGGAAUGUCUUAAGAAUGAUUCACUAAACAUCAGGCGGUUGUCUGAGCGUUCGUUUUGGCAAUGACUCAUGUCUCCAGCUUUCACCCUCUAGGAUGAUCUACAGUGAACUCUUUAAGUGGUGUAAUGGUUCCACACCGGGCUGGCAUAGUAUUUAACAGACAAGCGUUCAAUGUAUUGACCUCAAACGGUUCUUAAAGAACCCUUUAAAAAACAGUUCUUCAGUAGUGUCCUGUGUGGAGGAAAAAUGGUUCUGGGUAGAACCUCUGCUCUUCACACAAACCUUCCUGGAUCCCUUAUUCCUAAGUGUACAAAAAAUCUGUGCGUUUUCAAAGCUUGAGAUUGUGUUUUUUUGCAAAUCUUGAACUUGCAUAUCAAGGUUGACUUGAUAUAAAUGGCCUGUAUUUGUAAAACGCUUUGCUGUUUUGCUGUUGCCUAUUGUCUGUUUCCAGUGUUCAAUCAGGGUCUUGUUCAGGGUUCUUUUCAUUUCACAAAUGUACUUUGGUGGUUAAAGCCAAGGUUGACAUUUUGGUAAACUCUCAUGCAUAACAGCGUGGCGACUGUGGGUGAGUGGGGAGCACGGUCGUCCUCCACUCAGAGGGUUGUUGGUUCGAUCCCAGGCUCUGCUAACCUGCAUGUCGAUGUGUCCUUGGGCAAGACACUUAACCCAACAUCCUGUAGCUGCGACUACAGUGUGUGAAUGUUAGUUACUGAUGGGCAGGUGUCACUGUGUGUGGUUCUCCUGUCAUCAGUGUAUGAAUGGGUGUGAAUGGGUGAAUGAUGUCAUGUAGUGUUAAAGCGCUUUGAGUGGUCGGAAGACUAGAAAAGCGCUAUACAAGUACAGUCCAUUUACCAUUUACCAAUUAAUUAAAUUAAUUUAAUUGAAGUGCGAAAACCAAAAGGCGCCGACCAGAAGCUUCCCUCUCAAAGACACGUAAUUGCACAUU